CCAUCACCAGUUGGUUUCCUGGAGAAAGAUCUUUUAUCUGGAGGCAGUCGCUAGGCUGUCUCAAUUUGCUCUUUUUUUCAGAGCAGCAGUUUAAAUAAAGCCUUCAACUCAACUAGCCACACCACCCCAAUUUGGAUUAAAAAAAAAACAAAGACAAAGAAGGGGUAAAGUCAAACAGUCUUCUUCACAAUCUACAUACUAUGACUAGGAAUGCGGUACAAGGAAUUCCUGACAUCUCGUGGAAAAAUAGUAUAAAUAAGCAAAAGGCUUUUCAUAAUGUAAUUUUUUUAUCAUAGAUAAUCACCA
This 306-nucleotide long non-coding RNA is filed under the name Panax ginseng (ginseng). RNAcentral's name for it is "long non-coding RNA (PGIN_LNC001588)". The record is from RNAcentral. Lineage: Eukaryota; Viridiplantae; Streptophyta; Magnoliopsida; Apiales; Araliaceae.